UACGUAGGGUGCGAGCGUUAAUCGGAAUUACUGGGCGUAAAGCGUGCGCAGGCGGUAAUGCAAGACAGAUGUGAAAUCCCCGGGCUUAACCUGGGAACUGCAUUUGUGACUGCAUUGCUGGAGUGCGGCAGAGGGGGAUGGAAUUCCGCGUGUAGCAGUGAAAUGCGUAGAUAUGCGGAGGAACACCGAUGGCGAAGGCAAUCCCCUGGGCCUGCACUGACGCUCAUGCACGAAAGCGUGGGGAGCAAACAGGA
This 254-nucleotide ribosomal RNA is filed under the name uncultured Methylibium sp. RNAcentral's name for it is "partial 16S ribosomal RNA". It matches the Rfam family "Bacterial small subunit ribosomal RNA", at positions 524 to 777 of the family's 1533-position model. The record is from RNAcentral. Lineage: Bacteria; Pseudomonadati; Pseudomonadota; Betaproteobacteria; Burkholderiales; Sphaerotilaceae.